Molecule: unclassified non-coding RNA, 252 nt
Filed under: Hevea brasiliensis (rubber tree)
Lineage: Eukaryota; Viridiplantae; Streptophyta; Magnoliopsida; Malpighiales; Euphorbiaceae
Source: RNAcentral
GAUGAUGUCUUCUCAUUCUGGCUCAACAAGGAUCCAGAUGCUGUAGAGGGUGGUGAGAUUGUUUUUGGUGGUGUUGAUGAAAAACACUAUAAGGGGAAACAUACAUAUGUUCCAAUUACCCAAAAAGGUUACUGGCAGUUCAGUAUGGGAGAUUUUCUAAUUGGAGACCAUUCAACAGGUGUCUGCCAAGGGGGUUGUGCUGCAAUUGUGGAUUCAGGAACAUCCUUGCUUGCUGGUCCAACAGCUAUUGUG